Acinonyx jubatus (cheetah) is the source of this 7406-nucleotide long non-coding RNA. RefSeq lists it as uncharacterized. The record is from RefSeq and is a predicted model, not a curated record. Lineage: Eukaryota; Metazoa; Chordata; Mammalia; Carnivora; Felidae. The transcript has 5 exons.
UGUGCACGACCCAAAAUAAAUAAAAUAAUAGUUGAGGCAAGAGCCGCAGCCGGAGCCGGCGGAGGGUGGGGUGGGGGGCAGGGUGGGUCCUUCUGCCGCUGCUGCCAGUGGAGGAGGAGGCGGCGGCGCGGGGUGUGGAGGGAGUGAGAGAGGGGGUGCUGCUAGUGCAUGUGCAUCGCGGGUCCUCAGCCGUCGGUGCGUCCGCGGCGCCUUCGCCGACCCCUGCGCGCAGGGCAGGGUUGGGCAGGGGGCCGGGUCGGGGGGCAGGUCUCUAGCGGGAGGCGGCGUCGCUGUCUCCCAGAGCUCGCAUCGCUCGGUGGAGCCUACCGGAGAGAGAGGGAGAGCGAGGGAGCCGCAGGCAGCCGGGAGCUCGAGGGAGAGAGAGAGAGAGAGAGGGAGAGAGGCUGGGAGGGAGGGGAGAAAAAAAUGAAGGGAGAGCCAGCGAGCGCGCGCGCCACAGCCCGGGCGGGGGAGGGGGCGAGCGCAGCGCGCGAGUGCGCCAGCGGCUCUGCGCACCCCGCACCGCAAGCCGCCCGCUGACGUCAGCAGGGCCGCGCGCCGGGCCCCCGGGACAGGGAGGGGUGGGGGACGGAGGAGGCGCGCGCGCCGGGAACCGCGUCAGCCGGCGGCGGCGCGCGCGCGCGCGCGCGGCCUUUCCUCCCCCCAGCGCCCCCGGGCCCGCGGCUCCCAGAGGUGGGAGCGUGCGGGGCCUGGCGGGGGCGGAGCCUGGGGCCGGGCGCGCGCCGGGGUGCCCCUCCCCGCCUCCGCCCCCGCCCGACGCGCGGGCUCCUCCGACCUCCUGGUCAAUGGGAACGCGGGACUGGGCCGCCCGCGCCGCGGUCAGGUGGGCCCCCCAGCUCGCGCCCCGCGCCGCCCUGCUCGUCCUCCCGCUUCCGCUCCAUCUUGGCUCCAGCAGCUCGCCUUCUUGGUUACUCUUCUGCUGUCAGGGCUGUGGCAGCCGAGACCAAGUGACCUCAGCAAACGCGAGGAGACAGUGGGUCUGAAUAAACCCGCGUUCCGGUGAAUUCGCCUGGGGCAUGGGGGCGGUCGCGGAUUGUUCUUUUCCUGCGACCCACCAUCAUUAAUUGAGCACCUAGUAUGUGAGAGUAGAGGCUGUGAGGAGAGGAACACAGCAGGAUGAGACAAAGCCCUGGCCUGUUCUCUAGGAGCCUCUACCUCCCUGUGCCUUCGCGGACCCUGCUCUGAGAUUCCCCGCCAUAGGUUGCUAAGAUGAUUAUGCCGAUCUGAUAUAGGGAAAAACUUCAGCAACUCACCCAGAUUCUGCUAUCCCUACAAGGCUGCAUCCGAAAGACCAAAGAGCUCUUCAUGGUCGACUCUGUGAAAAGGAGACCUGGAAAAGAGUCUUCUUGUUGGGGACCCUGGCCUGAGUUGGAGAAUCCUGGGAAGGAUCUACAAUCUACAACCUGGUGUAGAGGAGUCUAGGGUAAGAAGGAGAAUGUAGAGCUUCUGCGUAGUUCACAAUUGUUACCUGACCUCCUAAGCUUUUUAUAUGUUGAAGACUGAUGUUUUACAUCAAGACUCCAAAGGUGAAGAAAGCCAGUGACCCUGUUGCCCGGCCUUCUUGCCCCAACUCAGGUGGUUCUGAAGGAUCAUCUCAUUUUCAGAAUUCCCCACACUUCCACUGAUACUACAUCAUAGCUCUGUGUCUCCCUGGGCCCACUCUGCCUCCUUCCCUUCAUCCCAUGGGUGUUGAUCUCAAGAGCACUCUAAUAAACCUCCUGCUUGCUAACUUCAUGUCAGAGUCUGCUUCCUGGGGAUUCUGACCUAGGACCAAGAAUUUACUGGAAAUUACUACAUCUAUCAGAGGAAAGCUGAUGUUUAGUUACAGAAAUGCUUUAACCUGCCCUGGGCUUAGGUAGAUGAGUUAUGUAAGGACAAACACAGGAAGUCAGAAAGCAAAGGAAACAACGGCCUCUUAAGCAUGCCUGAUUUGCCCACCCAAAUCUGCUCCUUCUACCGCUUUCCCCAACUUAGAAAAUGGUGACAUCUUUUCAGUUGCUCAAGAUGAAAUCUUGGGUUCUUUUCUGACCAUGAUCUCUAACACCACAUUCACAACCCAUCAGGGAAUCCUCAGCUUUACCACCACAACUGGUCCCAAAUCUGCUUCUUCCUUACCACCCAGAAUAACAACCCCUGGUCCCAGUCCCCACUCCUUUGGAUUACCGUGAUUGCCUCCCAAUGUGACCCUCAACCUCAAUCUUUUGCCUCUGCAGUUUGUUCUCAACACAGCCAAAGGGAUCUUUUAAACCAAAGUCCAAUCAUGUGUUUCCUUGGUUCAAAGCUUUCUGGUGCUUGCCGUCUCAUUUGAAGCAAAACCCUAAGUCUUUCCAUGAUCCCUGUCAGGGCCCACCAGAGAAGCAGAAUCAGUAGGAUCUAGAUAGAUACAGAUGAUGGGUAUAAAGAAGAGAUUUGUUAUAGGAAUUGGCUCAUGUGGUUAUGGAGGCUGAGAAGUCCACAGUCUGCCAUAUGUAAGCUAGAGAACCAGGAAAGCCUGUAGUAUGAUUUAGUCCAAGGCUGAAGGCCUGAGGCCUAGGAGGCCACUGGUGUAAAUCCCAAAAGCCUGAGAACCAGGAGCUCCAUCCAACAUCCCAGGAGCUUCACUGUCUGAGAACAGGAGAAGAUGGUCAUUUCAGCUCGAGAAGAGAGAGAGGAAAUUUGCCCUUACUUCAUCAUUUUGUUCUGUUUGAGCCCUCCAUGGAUUGGAUGAUGCCCAUCCACACUGGUGAUGGCAGGUCUUUUUCACUUAGUCUGCUGAAUCAAAUGUUAAUCACUUCCUGAAACACCUUCACAGACACACUCAGAACUAGUGUCAAUACAGUCAAAUUGACACGCAAAAUUAAUCAUCACAGCCUUCUAGGCCCUACCCCCACACUGUCUUGCUGCCCUUUUCAGCCUUCUCUGUGCCAAACCUGUCCCUGACUCAGGGCCUUUGCACUUGCAGUUUCUUCUGCUGGAAAGGCCCAGAUAUUUUUCUCAUGGCUCUCUAAUUACUUUUUUCACUUCCCUGAUUGUAUUAGUCUGUUCAGGUUGCUGUACCAGAAUAUUGCAGACUGGGUGGCUUAUGAACGACAGAAAUUUACUUGUCAAGUUCUGGAGGCUGGAAGUCCGAGAUCAGGGUGCCUACGUGGUUGGGUGAAGGCCCUUGUUCAGGUCGUAGACUUGUCUUCCUUACUGGACAGAAGGGCGAGGGAGCUCUGUGGGGCCUCUACACUCUUAGUAUCAUUAUUUUGAGGAUUAGGAUUUCAACAUAUGAAUUUUUUUAACGUUUAUUUUUGAGAGUGAGAGAGAGAGAGCAGAGAGAGAGGGAGACACAGAAUCCAAAGCAGGCUCCAGGCUCUGAGCUAUCAGCACAGAGCCAGAUGUGGGGCUCAAACUCAUGAGCCCUAAGAUCAUGAUCUGAGCUAAAGUCAGAUGCUUAACCGACUAAGCCACCCAGGUGCCCAUAAUUUCAACAUAUGAAUUUGAUGGUGGUGGGGAAGUGGGGGAGGGCACACAAUUUUUCAGACCAUAGCACUGAUCAAAUGUCAUCUUCUUUGUGAGACCUUCCUUGACCACCAGCACAUGACCCCAACCUCCUUUCCCUGCAACCCCAACUUGCCCUGCCCUGCUUAUUUUUCUCAUGGCACUUACUGCCAUAUGAUUAAUUCACUUGUUUACUUAUUUAUCAUCUAACCCUUUCCUCAAUAGAAUGGAAACUUCAUGAGGGGUGUUUGUUUACUUCUUUAUCCCCAACACCUACAACAGUGCUUGGCAUGGAGUAAAUGCUUAAUAAGUACUUGUUGAAUAAAUGAAAUCUUAAUUACCUGGCUGUUUGGAGAUGUCUCUAGUGGGAAGACUGCAUAAGCAUGGGUUGUAUUCCUUGUUCUGCUGCUUACUUGUCUAAUGACCUUCCCCAAGCCCCUUUUCCUCUCUGAAAGCUGAGGAGGCAGGAUAAGAGGGUCAUCCAGAAUCCCUUCCCAAGUCUGAUCUUUUUUAAAGCUGUGAUUUUUUUUUAAAGCAAACAACCAGCUGUGGCAAAGAAGAGAUCAGAAUCCUCUCAUGUGGUUUUUCUCACUUGGAGAUGGGGAGAGGGAGCAUUGAGAAAGUUGGGGUUCAGGCCGUGGUGUGCUGUGUACUUGGAGAUAGUUAUGUUUUUUUUUUUUUUCUGAUUUACACUUUCUCCUUCCCUAUAACCCUCCUCCCCAAGGAGAUAUUAUUGCAGCUAUGCUUCUAUUGCUUGAGUGACUUCCACAUGAAGCCUGGCUCCAGGAUCCCUCUCUGUGACAUCCUACCUGAAGGAGUAGCUCCAAGGUGCUUGACUCCUUUUUUUCAUCUUAAACUUUCUGCCCCUCAUGUGUGUUCUGUGACUUGUUUUGGCCUCAUGUCAGGCGGAGUGAGUGUCCUUGCCUUUUGAUCUGGUCAAUGGGAUGUGAGCAGAUGUGGCACCAUCAGUGGCUUGAAAUAAGCUUGGACUAUGGACUUGUCUUUGUGAGCUUCUUCCACCAACAUAAGAGAAACACACCCUGGCUAGCCCAGCGGUCCAGGAAGAAUGGAGGGAUACCCAGAGCAGACCUGAACCAAACCCAAGGCUGGGACCAAACUCAGCUGAGCCGACCAACCCACACAUGCAUGAGUGAGCAUAAAUUAUUGUUGUAAACCACUGAGUAGUGGGGUGGUUUCUUACAUGGCAUUAUUGUGGUAAUAGCUGACUGAUACCAGUCUUAACAAAACCCAGCCCAGGGUACUCACUCUUCCAGAAAAUAUUCCCUUAACGCAGAUUUGGCCAACAGUAAGAAUUUCAGGUAUGUUUCAAGUCAGUGGGGUCACUCGUUUGUGGGGAAUGAGAGAGGGACUGUAGCAGAAAGAAGGGAAUGGGAGCAGCCAAUAUUGCUCAGUUGUACCAUCUGAUGAGUCUGAAAACAGGAAGAGCAAGGAUGGAAAGGAUUUAUAGAGAAGCUGGUAUGAUGAGGCUGGUAUUGGCGUUAUGUCUUGGGGCUUCUUCCUCAAGGCCUCCCUCCAGGUCAUGGGGCUAUUAACCCUGUCCAUGGCCUGAAAGGUAGUCUGACCUAGGGCUCCUGGGUAUUUCACACUGGAGCAGCAGGGCACUGCUAUUCUGGCAGUGGAGAUUAUGCCUUCCACGUGGACACUGUGGACAUUUAGAAUCAAGUCUUGUUAAAAUAUCCUGAUUUGCAUAUUAAGAAAGUCAAUGGAGAAGCUACUUUUUUUUUUUCUUCUUAUCCAUUGAAAAGAUGAGCCUUAAGGAGACUUUACUGCAACUACGUUUUUAGGGCUUAAGUGAAUUCCAAAUGCUACUGUAAAUUCCAUUUAUUAUUUAUACAGCUUCAGCUCCCUUGCGAAGCUGAGUGCCUUACAGGAAGGAAGGAGAGAUCAAAUCCAUGUGGAAUGGAGAGGUCUUAGGGGGUCAGACUGUGUGACAAAGGGACAGGGUCUGUGGUGUGGAUGGAGGUGUCUGUAGGGAGAUGGGUCAGGAACCUGGUUGAGUAGCAGUGGGAUCAAGAUGGACAGAGCUAGGAGAGUCUCUAAGAUCAUCUGGGCCUAGGAUGUUUUGCUAACUUUUCUGGUCCUGAGAAUCAUGAGUUACUUGUUAAAAAUACAGAUGUCCAGAUCCCUCCCUUGGAGAUUCCAUUUUAGCAGUUCAGAAGUAGGGUCCAAACAUACAUACUCUUAAGAAGGAGACCGGGUGAUUUUGACAACUAAGCAUGUGUGGAAAAUAGCGAUCUAUCAAGAUGUCUGUUUCAUAAAUGAGUAAGUUGAGGCUCAAGUAGGGGUCUUGCUCCAGUUCCCAAAGGCCCAGUGAAUGCUAGAGUUGAUGUAGGACAAGGUCUCUGAGACUUGAAUGGCAUGGUUUAGUAUGGCCAAUUUACAGCCAGUCUGAGACUGACAGUAUAGUCUGCAGGUUUGCUAAUCUUUUGAUUCUCUGACUUUUGCUGCUCAUUUUCUCUUUAAGAGUAGCUGAAGGCAGGAGUCAUGGAGCCAGAACCCAGUUCAAAUCCUAUCUUUACUUCUAACUGCUGUGCCACCUUGGGCACAUUGUUUAACUUCUCUGAGCCACUGGUAUGAUCAUUAAAUAAGAUAAUGUACCUAUGCAUAGCAGAUGCUCAAUAAAUAUUAUUGCCUACAGAGUGCCAGGCCCUGUUCCAAGCACCAUAAUAACCAGCAUAACUCAUUUAAUAAUUUUUUUAAAAUUUUUUUAACACUUUAUUUAUUUUUGAGACAGGGAGAGACAGAGCAUGAACAGGGGAGGGUCAGAGAGAGGGAGACACACAAUCUGAAACAGGCUCCAGGCUCUGAGCUGGCAGCACAGAGCCCGACGCGGGGCUCGAACUCACGGACCGUGAGAUCAUGACCUGAGCCGAAGUCGGCCGCUUAACCGACUGAGCCACCCAGGCGCCCCUAAUAAUUUUUUUAUUAAUCCCAUUAUAAAAUUAAGUGAUGAACACAGAAUGAGACUGGCUUGUUCAAAAUCAUGCAUAUAGCAGGUGAGGGGCAGGAGAAGAUUCGAACUCAAGCAGUCUGUAGUUGUCCUUUCCUCUGAGGGCUGGCCCAAGUCACUCUUACUCAGUAUGCCCCUGGUGUAAGUAGACAGAAGUGCCUGAUGAACUCAUUUGAGAUUUAAAAGGCAGGACAAGAAAUGCACUUCAAAUGUGCUUGAGGGUGGGGCAGUUGGAGAGGGACGUCCAGAGGCCUUGGGGGAGAAAGGCCGGUACUCCCAGAAGGUUGGGCAGGGGCUCCAGAACCAAUUCCUGGGUGAUAAAGACUGAUCUCAGGCCAAGUAAUUAGUAUUGAAAUGCGCAGAAGCCAGGAAGUUUCCUCGCAUUGUCGUCCGCAAUAGAGAAAAAUCCAGACUGAACUGGCUGCUUCCAUUAGAAGUGAUGUAACGAGCCGGCUUUGGCCUAGUUUUCUUAAAGCAGGCGGCCCCCUGGCUCUCCCACACCCUUCUUUCUGGAUCUGCAAGUGACAGCUACCGCCAUCUAGCGGUGUAAGCGGCACUGCACAGGCACCAGGAAAGAACGGUUGGUUCUGGAUCGCAAGGAUUUAAGAUGCCUCUGGCCUGACUUAAAGAUAAGAGCCCCUGAUCUUGAUAGGGAGGUUUAUUCUGCUCAGAGCACGUUGGUGAUUUUUACUUCGUUAAGUCUUCUCAACAAUCCAGGGAAGUAGGCAGGGACCAUUGACUCCAUUUUAUGGACGAGGCAGCAAGUCCUUACAGGGGAGGGGUCUUUCUUAACAGCUGCAUUGCCAGCUAUUAAUGGAACUAGGACUGGGACCCACGUCUUCACGACUCCAGUUUAUUGGAUGAGAAGUGACACAUAGAGGCUGUCAGGUCCCUUGAAGUCACUUUGGACAGGGGAACAGAAGAUGAUUCUUCCUGGAGGUCCCAGGUACUU